CACGGAGGGUGCAAGCGUUAUCCGGAUUCACUGGGUUUAAAGGGUGCGUAGGCGGCCAGGUAAGUCAGUGGUGAAAUCUCUGGGCUUAACCCAGAAACUGCCGUUGAUACUAUCUGUCUUGAAUAUCAUGGAGGUAAGCGGAAUAUGUCAUGUAGCGGUGAAAUGCUUAGAUAUGACAUAGAACACCGAUAGCGAAGGCAGCUUACUACAUGGAGAUUGACGCUGAGGCACGAAAGCGUGGGGAGCAAACAGG
Molecule: ribosomal RNA, 253 nt
Filed under: uncultured bacterium
Lineage: Bacteria
Description: partial 16S ribosomal RNA
Rfam family: Bacterial small subunit ribosomal RNA
Source: RNAcentral